GUUUUCCACUAAUGGACCACAUGUCCCACCAUCUAAGGAAUAUUCCAAAAAGACAUGGCAUUCUCCUCAUCAAACUACUUAUUUAUUUCAAAAUAAAACUACCCAUCCUCAUUCAACACUUCCAAUGGGAAAAUUCAGAGAUGAGAUCUUAACACAGCUUCACUCAGGAAGAGACUCACAUGACAGAGCAACUCUGAAUGCAAAGUGACAUCUUCACAAAUGCCAUGGCCAUUGCUGACCCAUGAUUCAGCUAAGUUAAGCAGUCAUAAGGAAAGAAUUACGUGUACUUCAUAUCCCUAUAAAUUGUAAAUGCUAAAAAUGUUAAAGAACUCGAAGUAUUUCUCUAAAAGGCUGUCAAGAGAAUCUAGGUCUGCUAUGACUUAUUCCAAGUCCUCAGAGUUAAGUCAAGGAGUGUUCUUUGCCCCAGUCUCCCUAAGACAGUGCCUAUACAUUGGACAAAAAGUCCAAGGAGAGCCAAACUAGUGCAGUAAACGUUUGUACCCAAGUCCUCACCACCAGUCAUGAGUUGGCCUGUCACUUAAGUCAUUUCUCAACAAUGGCACUCACAAAGAGCUCCACAAUCAAGAUGGCAAAUGGAAACGUAAUCUGACUUCCUGGUGAAAAAUAAAAACCGGAGAAGUCAUUUGGAGGGCCAUCCUAAAGCUCUACUGUAUAAUGACGCCAGCAUGAGCCAGAAAGGGAAGGGCAGUGGGACUUGAGUAUUCUACAGAAAAAUUGAUACAGUCAUGCAAGAGGUAGGGGGGUAAAGAAUAAGUAGUCCUAUCAAUCAGGUAUAAGUUGUUUCAAGAGAGAAGAUUCACCAAAACUUGGAUCUCACCCCAUUCCAAACCCAACCCCAACCCUACUUUCCCCAUGAGACUCCCUGCCUGCUGCCAGUACUCAGAAAUCCCAGCAGUAUAUUCUAAAAAAAUUAAAAAAUAACAGAGCAUUGACUCCAGUAGAUUAGAGUUUAAGUGUUUGCUCUUUCCCCGAAGUCUUUAAAGGACCUUGAAGCAGGUCACCAUGCUUGCAAAUUAAGUUUCAGCAGCUCUACCUCCUGGCAGAAGGACUGAGUCCAAAUCGCAUGCAGUGCACGUUGAAGUUUUCAGAAGCAUGGGCAGUCGGCAGUAGUAACAGAGUCUCACCCCAGAAGGAAAAGAGGGGAUAGGGAAAACAAAAGAUUAUGCAAGCCCCCAGCCCUUCCUGAAGCCCGUGCUCUGCCCAGCACUCGGAUGCUGCUCUUUUCUUGCUUACCAACCAACUCCAUUUGCUUGUGAUGGCCCCAUUUUUACAGUUUUCCACAUGCUGGGGAGCCUAGGCCAAGCUGGUCACAAGUGGUCACUUACUCUUGCCAUUCUUCAUGAACCAAACCAACUGUGUGACUGUCUGAUGUGCCACCUCACUCAGAGGGAAGCUCUAACAUUGCCUCUGUAAUAUAAUGCUAGUGACUGUAUGUAGUACAUGUUAUAUGUGUAUAAUCUUUUUACUGAUAGACUGGAAACAUGUCAUCAUUUUUUAGAAAGAAAAAUAAACUUGGUUUUUCC
This 1544-nucleotide long non-coding RNA is filed under the name Mus musculus (house mouse). Its description in RNAcentral is "long non-coding RNA chr11:43260725-43262269". The record is from RNAcentral. Lineage: Eukaryota; Metazoa; Chordata; Mammalia; Rodentia; Muridae.